GACGAACGCUGGCGGCGUGCUUAACACAUGCAAGUCGAGCGGUAAGGCCCUUUCGGGGGUACACGAGCGGCGAACGGGUGAGUAACACGUGGGUGACCUGCCCUCAGCUCUGGGAUAAGCCUGGGAAACUGGGUCUAAUACCGGAUAUGACUCCAUGACGCAUGUUGUGGGGUGGAAAGCCUUGUGCGGCUGAGGAUGGGCCCGCGGCCUAUCAGCUUGUUGGUGGGGUGANGGCCUACCAAGGCGACGACGGGUAGCCGGCCUGAGAGGGCGACCGGCCACACUGGGACUGAGACACGGCCCAGACUCCUACGGGAGGGCAGCAGUGGGGAAUCUUGCGCAAUGGGCGAAAGCCUGACGCAGCGACGCCGCGUGAGGGAUGACGGCCUGGUGU
This 394-nucleotide ribosomal RNA is filed under the name uncultured bacterium. Its description in RNAcentral is "bacterial SSU rRNA". It matches the Rfam family "Bacterial small subunit ribosomal RNA", at positions 28 to 422 of the family's 1533-position model. The record is from RNAcentral.